ACUUGCGUGCACGCAGCGUCAACGCAAUUGCGGUAGGAAGUACCCAACAUCAAAUAGAAUCAUGCACACGCACUUGCGUUAACGCGGCGUCGACACGCGUCUCAUUUGCGGCGAGAGUUACCGCAAAGUCACCGCAACUCCCCACAGGAACGCUGCGUGCACGCGAGUAUUUUUUGACAUUUCUCUAUUCUUUUUCUUUCCAACAAGAUUUCUAAUGGGAAAAUCUGUGAUGUGAAAGAAUGUGUCAGAGCGAAAUCAAAACAAACAAAAAUACUUCGCAAAUCAGUUCAUUUUGGUUUCGCAAAUUAAUUUGCAAAUUGCAACACUUUUCAAAUCUAGUAAUUCAAUUGUAAUAGUUCGGAGCAAUAAGUGUUUCUUUCGUUCCUGUGUUAGUACCAGUCGCGGUCAAAACAUCUUUGGAAAGAACUGACAAGCAACCAUCCCAGGCUGGUGGAUAGAGUCAAAGUCAACGGAAAAUAAAUUGAUUUCCGAACAGACGGUGAUGUGGCAGUUUUGGGAUGAAUAACGGACCAGGCAAAAUUCAACCAUUCAACCAACAAAGUUCCAACCAACAUUCCGCGGGACCCUGUAUACACCAAGGAAGGCGAUACCAGUUCCGCCAUGGGAAGAAUUAUUAAAUAUAGGAAUGUCAACGGAAGGAAAUCGUCAAAUAAUGUGGAUUGCAAGUGCAAGAAGAAACGAGAUCAGAUAAAGGGAUGGCGAGUUACAGUACUAAUGCGUUUCUUCUAGUGUUGUGGGCAACGCUACUGCGAUCGGUCCGUGUUGCAGUGAAGUGAAAAUUGCAAUGAUAAUAACGACGUUUGGCAUUUAGAUAGCACUUCUUUGGAAGAACAACGACAAACGUAGCAACACGCCAGCAAUCGCUUGUGAUGCUUUCGGAGGAAGAUUUUGAGCACCUUAUUUGUAGGAGUGACUGCAGUAUCUGACCAAAAUGUUUAAUGACUGAGUGUUGAACUUAAUUUUAAAAUUAAAAAAACACUUUAAUAAAGAAUUAAAAAAAAAAAAAAAGUUUAAUGACUUUUUAUUCGUGAGCAAAUGAUUACCGAUAAAUGGAACUAAUAAAAAUCGUACCCCAAAUGAAACAGAUGCUCAAUUCAAGACAAGAACAAUUGAAUGCCUGAAUCCACUAUUAUUCAAAAUUAAUCUAUGAAGUAAUAAAUUUAAGUUGGAAAUAAAGAAUGAGCAACAUUAUGAAAUUGU
Molecule: long non-coding RNA, 1221 nt
Organism: Armigeres subalbatus
Lineage: Eukaryota; Metazoa; Arthropoda; Insecta; Diptera; Culicidae
Exons: 3
Source: RefSeq, a predicted model, not a curated record